AAUUUUUGGGAUAAAAAAUUUAAGAUAUAUAGCAUUACUCUUUUGCGAAACAUGCUUAGCUGAUUUGUUUAUUUACGAGGUCGCAUUCAAGGAGCCAUUUGUGUCCUAUAUUUUCACUCGUCUUAGCAGUAUUUAUGUAAAACUCAACUGUUAGCUAAUUGUUACAUAUUUAUUACACUGCGUGUAUAAUUUUUUAAUAUUUUUCAUCAACUUCUCACAAAGUCAAUGAAUCUGACACUUGGGGUAAUUUUCUUUUGAUUAUUUCGAUCCCGUUGGAGCUUUAUUUUAUUUGCAGCUUGUUAAUAAUUUAAUUAAUCAAUAUUACGAGAUCUAAUAUGCCAGAGUUUGAAAGGCUGCAUGUAAUACAUACAAUAAGUAUUUUAAUGCCGCAAAUUAAUCAUUAAUGCAUAAAUUUUGCAUAUAUGUAUUUAUAAUGGACCCACUUUGAGCAACUUGGAAGACUUAUCCAGUUUGAGUUAUAAAAAGUCAAAUUUCAUGACUUUUAAUCCAUUUUAAUUCUUCAAGCGAAUCAAGCUUGGAUGCUCAUGAAGCCUCUAUCGAUCUGAUCAUGUAAUUAAGGUUCAUGAAGCCCCUAUCGAUCUGAUUACGCAGUUAACAGCUGUCGUGUGAUGUAAUGCGAAUAAGGCCACAGUCAAGACCAAAAGAACAAAAUGCAAAUCAAAUUUCUAUAUAUAUAUAUAUAUAUAUAUAUAUAUAUAUGAUCAUCAACCUUCUAGUGAUAAUUAUAAGUAUAAUCAUAAUAAUGUCACAAUGUCUAUCACAUGUAAUCAACGACUUAAAAAUUCUUAUGCCAGUACACUAUUGUAGGCAGCUAUGAAUAAUAUACAUAUCCCCUCGGGUGUUUGAAUAAUUCAUAUUCAAUUUGUAUUUAUUAAUAUGCAUGUAUAUUGGUUGGCGCAUGCAAAUGAAAUCUGUAUGUCGAAACUUGCAUGCAAAGGCCACGUGAAGCACAUCUAAAUGGGGCCGUGUGUAGCAUUUAGAGUGCCUUUCGUAUUGAGGUUGGAAAGUUACAGCAGUAAAGUGUUUGGUAAACACUAACUGUGAUAGCUUGAAAGUUAUGUUGAUAUGAUUUUUCACUUGUAUAAUAGAGAAUCUAUUAUAUCUUUAAUAAUUUUGUUAAAAUUAUUAUUUAAAAUUUAUAUUUACUAUAAAUUAUUAACUUUUAUUUUAUAAGUACAGUUUUUUUCCACAGCAACUGUAACUUAAAAGAUACAGCACCUCAAUCUCAAACUCACCCUUAAUCUUGCUUUAAUUUAUUAAUUUAAAAUUUGUGAAUGGCCAGAAUCAAUUUAGAUAUAUUACGAGUCAAUUAAUGAUAUUCCUUUUAAAAGAAUUACUCUUAAUUGUACUGUAAACAUAAUUAAUUGUGAAAAGAAUU
This 1399-nucleotide long non-coding RNA is filed under the name Citrus x clementina. RNAcentral describes it as "Citrus clementina (C. clementina) long non-coding RNA (CCLE_LNC002125)". Lineage: Eukaryota; Viridiplantae; Streptophyta; Magnoliopsida; Sapindales; Rutaceae. The record is from RNAcentral.